This is a long non-coding RNA of Pectinophora gossypiella (pink bollworm), 303 nucleotides long. RefSeq lists it as uncharacterized. The record is from RefSeq and is a predicted model, not a curated record. Lineage: Eukaryota; Metazoa; Arthropoda; Insecta; Lepidoptera; Gelechiidae. The transcript has 4 exons.
GUAUGGAAGACAUCGUUUCGUCUCAGCUUCAGUCGAUACUACUUCUUCAACAUGAAAGCCGCUGCAGUUCUUGCUUUCCUGGCCGUUUUGGCAAUGGAAUUGCUCCAAGCCAAUGCCCAGGGAGGAGGUUUGGGGGGCGCCGUCGGCGGCAACGGUGGUAUCGAAGGCGUUUGAUGGUGGUUACUUAAACACGUAAAAUGCGCAGCCGUCACAAGAACGUCUCCAAGUUAUUGAAAAUUUUAAUUGUUCCUACGAAUUACGUUUUACGUUUAAAUAAUUUUGAUUAAAUUUUUGUUGGCUGUA